Molecule: ribosomal RNA, 371 nt
Filed under: uncultured bacterium
Lineage: Bacteria
Description: bacterial SSU rRNA
Rfam family: Bacterial small subunit ribosomal RNA
Source: RNAcentral
ACGUAGGGUGCAAGCGUUAAUCGGAAUUACUGGCCGUAAAGCGUGCGCAGGCGGUUAUGUAAGACAGAGGUGAAAUCCCCGGGCUCAACCUGGGAACUGCCUUUGUGACUGCAUAGCUAGAGUACGGUAGAGGGGGAUGGAAUUCCGCGUGUAGCAGUGAAAUGCGUAGAUAUGCGGAGGAACACCGAUGGCGAAGGCAAUCCCCUGGGCCUGCACUGACGCUCAUGCACGAAAGCGUGGGGAGCAAACAGGAUUAGAUACCCUGGUAGUCCACGCCCUAAACUAUGUCAACUGGUUGUUGGGAGGGUUUCUUCUCAGUAACGUAGCUAACGCGUGAAGUUGACCGCCUGGGGAGUACGGCCGCAAGGUUG